Molecule: unclassified non-coding RNA, 59 nt
Filed under: synthetic construct
Description: RNA (59-MER) from synthetic construct (PDB 2M58, chain A)
Source: RNAcentral
GGAAGAAAGGGCUUCGGCCACUCAAACUACAGAGACGCCAGUCACUCAGAUAUCCUGGU